This 175-nucleotide antisense RNA is filed under the name Prochloron didemni. RNAcentral's name for it is "Antisense RNA which regulates isiA expression". It matches the Rfam family "Antisense RNA which regulates isiA expression". The record is from Rfam by way of RNAcentral. Lineage: Bacteria; Bacillati; Cyanobacteriota; Cyanophyceae; Chroococcales; Prochloraceae.
GAUACCCAAAGAUUGUAAAUGGGUUAAGAGUUGGGCUAGUAACAGUUCUGACCUCGCCGAUGACAGGGUCAUAGAUACCGAAGAAAACAGCCCAGAGGACUAAAAACAAGGCACCCAACCCAAGAAGAAUUAAGUGGUGACCAAGGAUAAAACCUAGACGUUUACCAUCACCCCA